UACAGAGGGGGCAAGCGUUAUUCGGAAUUAUUGGGCGUAAAGGGCGCGUAGGCGGCUUUGCAAGUGACGGGUGAAAUCCCUCGGCUUAACCGAGGAACUGCCUGUCAAACUGCAUGGCUUGAGACCGGGAGAGGUGAGUGGAAUUCCCAGUGUAGCGGUGAAAUGCGUAGAUAUUGGGAGGAACACCAGUGGCGAAGGCGGCUCACUGGACCGGUACUGACGCUGAGGAGCGAAAGCGUGGGGAGCGAACAGG
Molecule: ribosomal RNA, 253 nt
Filed under: uncultured bacterium
Lineage: Bacteria
Description: partial 16S ribosomal RNA
Rfam family: Bacterial small subunit ribosomal RNA
Source: RNAcentral